UAUUAAUCAUAUGGAGCCUGAUAAA
Molecule: non-coding RNA, 25 nt
Filed under: Mus musculus (house mouse)
Lineage: Eukaryota; Metazoa; Chordata; Mammalia; Rodentia; Muridae
Source: RNAcentral